UACGUAGGGUGCGAGCGUUAAUCGGAAUUACUGGGCGUAAAGCGUGCGCAGGCGGUUCGUGAUGUCUGGUGUGAAAGCCCCGGGCUUAACCUGGGAAUUGCAUUGGAAACUAGCGGGCUGGAGUGUGGCAGAGGGGGGUGGAAUUCCACGUGUAGCAGUGAAAUGCGUAGAGAUGUGGAGGAACACCGAUGGCGAAGGCAGCCCCCUGGGCUAACACUGACGCUCAUGCACGAAAGCGCGGGGAGCGAACAGG
Molecule: ribosomal RNA, 253 nt
Filed under: uncultured bacterium
Lineage: Bacteria
Description: partial 16S ribosomal RNA
Rfam family: Bacterial small subunit ribosomal RNA
Source: RNAcentral